UCCGUGUUAACCACGGCAGUCUGUCUAGAGUGCCCAACUUAAUGCUGGCAACUAAACACAGGGGUUGCGCUCGUUGAGGGACUUAACCCGACAUGCCACCACACGAGCUGACGACAGCCAUGCAGCACCUGUCUCUUUGUCAUAUUGCUAUGAAAGCCUGAUCUCUCAGGUUGUCAAAGGAUGUCAAACCUAGGUAAGGUUCUGCGCGUUGCUUCGAAUUAAACCACAUAAUCCACCGCUUGUGCGGGCUCCCGUCAAUUCCUUUGAGUUUUAGUCUUGCGACCGUACUUCCCAGGCGGGGUACUUAUCGCGUUAGCUCCGAGACUGCAGGGGUCAACUCCCACAAUCUCUAGUACCCAUCGUUUACAGCGUGGACUAC
This 379-nucleotide unclassified non-coding RNA is filed under the name uncultured Oligoflexales bacterium. RNAcentral describes it as "contains 16S-23S intergenic spacer region". Lineage: Bacteria; Pseudomonadati; Bdellovibrionota; Oligoflexia; Oligoflexales. The record is from RNAcentral.